RNAcentral lists this ribosomal RNA (607 nucleotides) under Bacillus sp. B1_UMNG. RNAcentral's name for it is "bacterial SSU rRNA". It matches the Rfam family "Bacterial small subunit ribosomal RNA", at positions 77 to 668 of the family's 1533-position model. Lineage: Bacteria; Bacillati; Bacillota; Bacilli; Caryophanales; Bacillaceae. The record is from RNAcentral.
AGCUUGCUCCCUGAUGUUAGCGGCGGACGGGUGAGUAACACGUGGGUAACCUGCCUGUAAGACUGGGAUAACUCCGGGAAACCGGGGCUAAUACCGGAUGGUUGUUUGAACCGCAUGGUUCAAACAUAAAAGGUGGCUUCGGCUACCACUUACAGAUGGACCCGCGGCGCAUUAGCUAGUUGGUGAGGUAACGGCUCACCAAGGCAACGAUGCGUAGCCGACCUGAGAGGGUGAUCGGCCACACUGGGACUGAGACACGGCCCAGACUCCUACGGGAGGCAGCAGUAGGGAAUCUUCCGCAAUGGACGAAAGUCUGACGGAGCAACGCCGCGUGAGUGAUGAAGGUUUUCGGAUCGUAAAGCUCUGUUGUUAGGGAAGAACAAGUACCGUUCGAAUAGGGCGGUACCUUGACGGUACCUAACCAGAAAGCCACGGCUAACUACGUGCCAGCAGCCGCGGUAAUACGUAGGUGGCAAGCGUUGUCCGGAAUUAUUGGGCGUAAAGGGCUCGCAGGCGGUUUCUUAAGUCUGAUGUGAAAGCCCCCGGCUCAACCGGGGAGGGUCAUUGGAAACUGGGGAACUUGAGUGCAGAAGAGGAGAGUGGAAUU